GAAAGUAAUGUCCAAACGAUUUGCCCUAUCUGCUUCUUGUUGCCCCAUUUUUCUCUUCUGCCUUAGCUGCUCUUUGAGCUGCUCAUCACCUGCUCUAUCUUCUUCUUGUCAUCAGGAGAAAACUUCGAAGCAUCUUCUCAUCGUUGCUGCGCUGAUGGGGUUGCUAAUGCUCUCAAGCUCCUUCAUUUUGUCCUCGAAAUCACAGGUAUUUUCCUUGUUUCUUGAAUCUUGUACGCAUUUGACAUUAUAGCUGCUAACAUUCUAAUUGUUUUCAUGUAUAUGCUGGAAUCAUGAAUUUGACUUCUGAGAAAAUUGAUCUCCCUUUGAAUCUGCAAUUCAACCCUUGAACCUUUCAAACUCAGGUGCAUAUAUAUCCUCCUUGCUCUGUCCAGUGUCCUCCAUAUUAUCUGGUGGAUCCCCAUUAGAACUAUUGGUUUUCAUCUUCUGGUGCUUUCUCUCCUAUGAUAGAGCUUUUCUUUUCCCUUAUAUCUGCUUGCUGGUCAGCUAGGCCUUGUCCUAUUUGCCGUAGCCAAAUCCACUGUCAAAGGCUUUCCUACUGCAGUUGCCAUGGAGAAAACAGCUUCUUUUGCAAAAAAGUUUGGAGGUAAUAUGCUGGAGUGGAUAGCAUCUUCACAUAGUCUUCAAAGAGAGACAAUCUAAUCAGAAUGUAUCUUUCAUCAAUAAGGCCAAUGGUGGCAUUCCCUUUGAUUGCACAUUGUACUGGAAUUACUUCUCUUAGUUUCUUUAUGUCUAUGAUAUCAUAAGAGAAUUUGCCCAAGAUUGCAUAUUGUAAAUCUUCUUUGAUUAUCAUCUGGUGUAUUUCCUUAGAAUUCCAAGUUAUGUAGGGUUCACCAUCUACAAAAUUAACAGUCUUGGAUGGGAUAUUAAUCUGUUGUGUAUUCUGUACUGCUGUUGGAGGCUUCAAAAGAUUUGCAUAA
Molecule: long non-coding RNA, 938 nt
Organism: Lycium barbarum (goji berry)
Lineage: Eukaryota; Viridiplantae; Streptophyta; Magnoliopsida; Solanales; Solanaceae
Exons: 5
Source: RefSeq, a predicted model, not a curated record